This 67-nucleotide transfer RNA is filed under the name Lirapex sp. ZZ-2022. RNAcentral's name for it is "tRNA-Phe". It matches the Rfam family "tRNA". From Rfam's summary of the family: Transfer RNA (tRNA) molecules are approximately 80 nucleotides in length. Their secondary structure includes four short double-helical elements and three loops (D, anti-codon, and T loops). Lineage: Eukaryota; Metazoa; Mollusca; Gastropoda; Neomphalida; Peltospiridae. The record is from RNAcentral.
GUUUUGAUAGCUUAUACCUAGAGCAUGGCACUGAAGAUGCUAAGGAGAAUUAUUAAUUCUUAAAACA